RNAcentral lists this ribosomal RNA (913 nucleotides) under Monascus ruber. RNAcentral's name for it is "LSU rRNA". It matches the Rfam family "Eukaryotic large subunit ribosomal RNA", at positions 38 to 965 of the family's 3401-position model. Lineage: Eukaryota; Fungi; Ascomycota; Eurotiomycetes; Eurotiales; Aspergillaceae. The record is from RNAcentral.
GCAUAUCAAUAAGCGGAGGAAAAGAAACCAACCGGGAUUGCCUCAGUAACGGCGAAGUGAAGCGGCAAGAGCUCAAAUUUGAAAGCUGGCCCCUCCGGGGUCCGCAUUGUAAUUUGCAGAGGAUGCUUCGGGCUCAGCCCCCGUCUAAGUGCCCUGGAACGGGCCGUCGGAGAGGGUGAGAAUCCCGUCUGGGACGGGGUGCCUGGGUCCAUGUGAAGCUCCUUCGACGAGUCGAGUUGUUUGGGAAUGCAGCUCUAAAUGGGUGGUAAAUUUCAUCUAAAGCUAAAUACUGGCCGGAGACCGAUAGCGCACAAGUAGAGUGAUCGAAAGAUGAAAAGCACUUUGAAAAGAGAGUUAAACAGCACGUGAAAUUGUUGAAAGGGAAGCGCUUGCGAUCAGACUCGCCUGCGGGGUUCAGCCGGCAUUCGUGCCGGUGUACUUCCCCGUGGGCGGGCCAGCGUCGGUUCGGGUGGCCGGUCAAAGGCCCCGGGAAUGUGUCGCCCUCCGGGGCGUCUUAUAGCCCGGGGUGCCAUGCGGCCUACCUGGACCGAGGAACGCGCUUCGGCUCGGACGCUGGCGUAAUGGUCGUAAGCGACCCGUCUUGAAACACGGACCAAGGAGUCUAACAUCUACGCGAGUGUUUGGGUGGCAAACCCAUACGCGCAGUGAAAGCGAACGGAGGUGGGAACCCUUCGGGGCGCACCAUCGACCGAUCCUGAUGUCUUCGGAUGGAUUUGAGUAAGAGCGUAGCUGUGGGGACCCGAAAGAUGGUGAACUAUGCCUGAAUAGGGCGAAGCCAGAGGAAACUCUGGUGGAGGCUCGCAGCGGUUCUGACGUGCAAAUCGAUCGUCAAAUUUGGGUAUAGGGGCGAAAAGACUAAUCGAAACCAUCUGGUAGCUGGGUUCCUGCCGAA